AUGAGUGACAGAAAUUGCCCAAUAAUGAGUUGGAACGUGCGGGGCUUGAACUCGCCGGCCCGGCGAGAAGUAGUUUUGGAGACGGCGGAGGCGCAUAAACUAGCCAUCCUCUGCCUGCAGGAAACGAAGAUCGGCGAAUGGAGCAGGGCACUAGUUAGGGAAACUGGAGGAGCGCGGCUCGCUGACUGCGUCGUCCUCCCUGCCACGGGCACGAGGGGAGGCGUCGCAAUCUUCUAG
This 237-nucleotide ribosomal RNA is filed under the name Triticum aestivum (bread wheat). RNAcentral's name for it is "partial small subunit ribosomal RNA". Lineage: Eukaryota; Viridiplantae; Streptophyta; Magnoliopsida; Poales; Poaceae. The record is from RNAcentral.